UGGGGAAUUUUCUGCAAUGGGCGAAAGCCUGACAGAGCAAUAUCGCGUGAGGGAUGACAGCCUUUUGGGUUGUAAACCUCUUUUUUCAGGGAGGAAGUUCUGACGUUACCUGAAGAAUAAGCAUCGGCUAACUCCGUG
RNAcentral lists this ribosomal RNA (138 nucleotides) under uncultured Pleurocapsa sp. Its description in RNAcentral is "partial 16S ribosomal RNA". It matches the Rfam family "Bacterial small subunit ribosomal RNA", at positions 355 to 507 of the family's 1533-position model. The record is from RNAcentral. Lineage: Bacteria; Bacillati; Cyanobacteriota; Cyanophyceae; Pleurocapsales; Pleurocapsaceae.